This is a long non-coding RNA of Drosophila albomicans, 475 nucleotides long. RefSeq lists it as uncharacterized. The transcript has 5 exons. The record is from RefSeq and is a predicted model, not a curated record. Lineage: Eukaryota; Metazoa; Arthropoda; Insecta; Diptera; Drosophilidae.
UCCAGGAGCCACAACACCACAACCACGAAUAACUUGCCCGUCUUACAAUAACAAAUCACAGCAGGAAAUCACACAGCUCAAAUCAGAAGCGAAUAAACAAACUAACGAAAUAAUAGAGCUUAAAAUUAAACUAAAUAAAUCCCUAUCGAAUAACAAGAAUUUAGCCAAUUCAACGGAUGAAAACUUUAAAAAAUAUCAAAACGCUCAAAUAAGUUUAGAAUCGUGUCAAGGGAAUUUGGAAUCACUAAAAAAUGAGUCUAUUAAAAACAUUUUGACUGUUCAAAAUUUGAUAUUGAAAGCUGAAAAUAAUCAGAAAUUGUUGGAUGAAUGCCAAAACAACAACACGGACAUUGUAGAACAAGAAAAGCAAUCAAUCCAUCAGCAGCUAAAUAUAUGUCAAAAUGACUUGAAAAUACAAAAAGCGGAUUGCUCUAAUAAGGAUUCAACUAUUAGAGAAUGGCGUAAAAAAGCUGAU